UACGAAGGGGGCGAGCGUUGUUCGGAUUUACUGGGCGUAAAGGGCGCGCAGGCGGCAGACCAAGUCAGGCGUGAAAGCCCCGGGCUUAACCUGGGAGGUGCGUCUGGGACUGGUAUGCUAGAGUUCGGGAGAGGAGAGUGGAAUUCCCAGUGUAGAGGUGAAAUUCGUAGAUAUUGGGAAGAACACCGGUGGCGAAGGCGGCUCUCUGGACCGAGACUGACGCUGAGGCGCGAAAGCUAGGGGAGCAAACGGG
Molecule: ribosomal RNA, 253 nt
Filed under: uncultured bacterium
Lineage: Bacteria
Description: partial 16S ribosomal RNA
Rfam family: Bacterial small subunit ribosomal RNA
Source: RNAcentral